AAGUCUAAAACGACUCUCGGCAACGGAUAUCUCGGCUCUCGCAUCGAUGAAGAACGUAGCGAAAUGCGAUACUUGGUGUGAAUUGCAGAAUCCCGUGAACCAUCGAGUCUUUGAACGCAAGUUGCGCCCCAAGCCUUUGGCCGAGGGCACGUCUGCCUGGGUGUCACAA
This 169-nucleotide ribosomal RNA is filed under the name Braya humilis. RNAcentral's name for it is "5.8S ribosomal RNA". It matches the Rfam family "5.8S ribosomal RNA". Rfam says of the family: 5.8S ribosomal RNA (5.8S rRNA) is a component of the large subunit of the eukaryotic ribosome. RNAcentral also lists the same sequence under 6 other names. The record is from RNAcentral. Lineage: Eukaryota; Viridiplantae; Streptophyta; Magnoliopsida; Brassicales; Brassicaceae.